Molecule: non-coding RNA, 270 nt
Organism: Jatropha curcas
Lineage: Eukaryota; Viridiplantae; Streptophyta; Magnoliopsida; Malpighiales; Euphorbiaceae
Source: RefSeq, a predicted model, not a curated record
GUGUGAUCCAAUAUUUCAAUUCAACCUGUUGAAGAAAAUACAGGAGAUAUAAGGUGGUUGAAGAGUAAUAAGGCUGUUUUUGUAUUUUCCACUUCCCAACUGAAUAUAUUUGGUUCUAGAGAUUCUUGUGCUAUAGGUUCUUUGACUGAGUUGAGGUCUUAUCUCAAGUCACUUAACCUGGCAGUUUGUUAAGAUUUAAUUUGAAUAAUUCUUUAGCUUUGUUUUAGGGAUUUGUUAGUUGUAUUAGAGGUUCCUGCCUCUAUUUAAACA